RNAcentral lists this ribosomal RNA (254 nucleotides) under uncultured bacterium. Its description in RNAcentral is "partial 16S ribosomal RNA". It matches the Rfam family "Bacterial small subunit ribosomal RNA", at positions 524 to 776 of the family's 1533-position model. The record is from RNAcentral.
CACGUAGGGUGCGAGCGUUGUCCGGAAUUAUUGGGCGUAAAGAGCUCGUAGGCGGUGUGUCGCGUCGGCCGUGAAAACCUGCAGCUUAACUGUGGGCUUGCGGUCGAUACGGGCAUCACUGGAGUUCGGCAGGGGAGACUGGAAUUCCUGGUGUAGCGGUGAAAUGCGCAGAUAUCAGGAGGAACACCGGUGGCGAAGGCGGGUCUCUGGGCCGAUUCUGACGCUGAGGAGCGAAAGCGUGGGGAGCGAACAGG